UGGUAGUUUGCUGUUACUAUUCAAUAUGGUAUGGAAGACACUAAAAGAAACGUGGCUGUUGUCAAGAAAAAUAAAACGGAUAAGGUCCCUUCUACCACAGCCGUUAUUGCAGUAUGGCAUGUAGGUCCUUUGCAUUUUGGUGGUGUGAUAAAGAGGGUGACAGCAGGCUGAUGAACAUGAUGGAUUGGACCUAAUUAAAUGGCCAACGUUUACUCUUGUUUGCCCUUUCCAUUGGAAUGUCCUCUAGCCCUGGAGCAAUGGGGGUUUAUGGUCCCAAAUGAAUGAGCACAGGAACCAACCUGGAAUUCCUUAGUUCAUUAAUGUGGAUUAUAUAGAGGCAAAGAUGUGUACAGAGAACAGGGUGUGGAGAAUAAUACUGCAGGAGAUUAACUACAAUUUCAAAAUAGUCAACACCUGGAUUUGUUAUUCAAUUCCACAUUUCAAAUUGUAAUGUAGUAUUGCGCAACAGUAUGUUUCAGUACCAUUAAGUUCAGAAAUUAGACCGAAGAUUAUUGCCAUGCCUAUAUGACAGGAAUUUAAUGUCAGUUACUUUCACUCCAAACAGAGAACA
Molecule: long non-coding RNA, 571 nt
Organism: Anguilla anguilla (European eel)
Lineage: Eukaryota; Metazoa; Chordata; Actinopteri; Anguilliformes; Anguillidae
Exons: 3
Source: RefSeq, a predicted model, not a curated record